UACGUAGGUGGCGAGCGUUGUCCGGAUUUACUGGGCGUAAAGGGAUCGUAGGUGGUUUCUUAAGUCAGAGGUGAAAGGCUACGGCUCAACCGUAGUAAGCCUUUGAAACUGGGAAACUUGAGUGCAGGAGAGGAGAGUGGAAUUCCUAGUGUAGCGGUGAAAUGCGUAGAUAUUAGGAGGAACACCAGUAGCGAAGGCGGCUCUCUGGACUGUAACUGACGCUGAGGCACGAAAGCGUGGGGAGCAAACAGGAUUAGAUACCCUGGUAGUCCCUGA
Molecule: ribosomal RNA, 276 nt
Filed under: uncultured prokaryote
Description: partial 16S ribosomal RNA
Rfam family: Bacterial small subunit ribosomal RNA
Source: RNAcentral